UACGUAGGGGGCAAGCGUUGUCCGGAUUUAUUGGGCGUAAAGAGCGUGUAGGCGGCUCGAUAAGUCUGCUGUGAAAGUCCAGGGCUCAACCCUGGAAGGCCGGUGGAAACUGUCGGGCUAGAGUCCGGAAGAGGCGAGUGGAAUUCCCGGUGUAGCGGUGAAAUGCGCAGAUAUCGGGAGGAACACCAAUGGCGAAGGCAGCUCGCUGGGGCGGUACUGACGCUGAGACGCGAAAGCGUGGGGAGCAAACAGG
This 253-nucleotide ribosomal RNA is filed under the name uncultured bacterium. RNAcentral's name for it is "partial 16S ribosomal RNA". It matches the Rfam family "Bacterial small subunit ribosomal RNA", at positions 524 to 776 of the family's 1533-position model. The record is from RNAcentral.